RNAcentral lists this ribosomal RNA (254 nucleotides) under uncultured prokaryote. Its description in RNAcentral is "partial 16S ribosomal RNA". It matches the Rfam family "Bacterial small subunit ribosomal RNA", at positions 525 to 777 of the family's 1533-position model. The record is from RNAcentral.
ACGGGGGGAGCAAGCGUUGUUCGGAUUUACUGGGCGUAAAGGGCGCGUAGGCGGUCAGCACAAGUCAGCUGUGAAAUCUCCGGGCUUAACUCGGAACGGUCAGCUGAUACUGCGGGGCUAGAGUGCAGAAGGGGCAACUGGAAUUCUCGGUGUAGCGGUGAAAUGCGUAGAUAUCAGGAGGAACACCGGUGGCGAAGGCGGUCAUCUGGCUCGGAACUGACGCUGAGGCGCGAAAGCGCGGGGAUUAAACAGGA